Molecule: transfer RNA, 82 nt
Filed under: bacterium
Lineage: Bacteria
Description: tRNA-Leu
Rfam family: tRNA
About the family: Transfer RNA (tRNA) molecules are approximately 80 nucleotides in length. Their secondary structure includes four short double-helical elements and three loops (D, anti-codon, and T loops). Further hydrogen bonds mediate the characteristic L-shaped molecular structure. tRNAs have two regions of fundamental functional importance: the anti-codon, which is responsible for specific mRNA codon recognition, and the 3' end, to which the tRNAs corresponding amino acid is attached (by aminoacyl-tRNA synthetases). tRNAs cope with the degeneracy of the genetic code in two manners: having more than one tRNA (with a specific anti-codon) for a particular amino acid; and 'wobble' base-pairing, i.e. permitting non-standard base-pairing at the 3rd anti-codon position.
Source: RNAcentral
GGGUAGGUGGCGUAAUUGGUAGCCGCGCUAGCCUUAGGAGCUAGUCCCGAAAGGGGUGCGAGUUCGAGUCUCGCCCUACCCA